UACAGAGGGUGCGAGCGUUAAUCGGAAUUACUGGGCGUAAAGCGUGCGCAGGCGGUGAUGUAAGACAGAUGUGAAAUCCCCGGGCUCAACCUGGGACCUGCAUUUGUGACUGCAUCGCUAGAGUACGGCAGAGGGGGAUGGAAUUCCGCGUGUAGCAGUGAAAUGCGUAGAUAUGCGGAGGAACACCGAUGGCGAAGGCAAUCCCCUGGACCUGUACUGACGCUCAUGCACGAAAGCGUGGGGAGCAAACAGG
Molecule: ribosomal RNA, 253 nt
Filed under: uncultured bacterium
Lineage: Bacteria
Description: partial 16S ribosomal RNA
Rfam family: Bacterial small subunit ribosomal RNA
Source: RNAcentral